CAGGGGUUGGGCAGAUACUAUGGCAACCUGCAGGCGUUAACUUGAGUGAAAGACUUUUUGGCAAAGUGUUAAAAGUACUUCAAGCAGGAAAGUUUACUCAUCGGAUUAGUGUUUUCAGAUACAGUUGGCCCUCUGUUUCCACAGGUUCCGCAUCCUUGCAUUCACCCAACCACAAAUCAAAAGGUCUACAAUAGCUGUAACUGUACUGAACAUGUACAGACUUUUUUUUCCUUGUCAUUAUUCCCUGAACAAUGCAGUAUAAUGACUAUAUACAUAGCAUUUACAUUGUGUUAGGUAUUAUAAGUAAUCUAGAGAUGAUUUAAAGUAUAUGGGAGGAUGUGCACAGGUUAUAUGCAAAUACCACGCCUUUUUAUAUAAGGGACUUGAGCAUCUGUGGAUUUUGGUAUCCUGGGGGGUCCUAGAACCAAUCCCCUGCAGAUAUCGAGGGAUGAUGUUAUUACCCUGGCUGCUACAUGGAUCACAGCGGGUCAGGAAGAGAUAUUAGGAGACCAUUUAGGAAGCAGUUGCAGUGGAGCAAACAAUGAAGGUGGCUUGGAUUAGAAUGGCUGCAGAGUGAAUGGUGAGAAGAGGAUGAUUUCAAGAAAUAAGUAGGCUAUAGAACCAGCAAGACCUCGUGCUUGAUUGGAUUUGUGGGGUGAGGGAGGAAUCGGGGUUAUCUUAGGAUGUGUUGAUUUUGAGGUACCAUUGAGACAUCCAAGAGGAGAUGUGGGGUAACCAGUUGGAUGUGUAUGUUUGGAGCUUUGAAAAUAUAUUUGGGCUGCAGAUUUAAAUUUGGGAGUUAUUGUGCAUAGGUGGUAAUUAAAGCCACAAGGGUGGAGAAAAUCACUGAGUGCAGGGCACACACUGUGGCCCUGGGCCAACCAUCUGUUUUGUACAGGCCACCAGCUAAGAAUCAUUUUUACAUGUUUAAAUGAUUGGGGAAAAAUUCAAAAGAAGAAUAUUAUUUCCUGACGUGAAGAUUAUGUGAAAUUCAAAUUUUAUGUCUAUAAAUAAAGUUUUAUUGAAACAUGGCCACACUCUCUCAUUUGGUACCUUUCAGGCUAUGAUGGCAGAAUUUAGUUAUUGUGAUGAAGACACAGAGACUGUGUGGUCAGCAAAGCCUAAAAUAUUUACUCUAUGGUCCUUUACAGAAAGUUUGCUGACCUCUGACUUGGACAAAGACUAUAGAAUUAGAAGUAAAGAGGGCCUCAGGCCACCUUGUGUUAAACGUUCAAAUCAGUGGUUUAUUAAAAGACAAUGAACUGACAAAGGAAACUAAGAAGUUGCCAGAGAGGACAGCCAGAGAGUGUGGUAGCACUUGGCUGGAGGGUGACCACUUGAUUUAUCAUUAAUGUCCUUAGGAAAUCAGUUUGAAAGAAAAAGUGAAGGGAGGAUUAGUGGCAGGAUCCAGAUGAGGUAGGUUGAGGGGAGUGGCAUGAGAGGAAUUGGAGAUGGCAACUGUUGACAGCUCUUCCAACAACUUCAGCUGGAUGGGAGAAAUGGGAUGGCUGUAUCAGGAGUGGCAAGAAGGCUUGGACAAGCUCUUAUUUAUUUUUUAUUUUCUUCAUUUUUGUUUGUCUUAAGGUGGAAGAGACUUGAGUAUAUUUAAAUGUGAAAUGAAAGAAGCCAUUAAAAUGUGCCAAUAAAGAGUGAACCCAUGAAACCUUAGACUUCUCCCACUUGGAUCCUGAUCAAGGCAGAGCCCGAGGUCCGCACUCUGUCUCUCUACCUGAGAACAUUCUGUGUGCCCUUGGGGCGUGCCAUGUACCCUCCAGAACUUGUGAGUAAUAAAUCUUGUUCCUUAAGCUUCCCUGAUGGUUUUUGCUGAAGUGUGUCCUGCAAUUAUAAUAAGAAUCACUGGGGCCAGUCCAGCCACAACAUCAGCCCCUGUGUGUGAUACAGUUGAGUGAGUGCCUUAGGCAUUGCUAGCUGAUAGUGUCACUAUCAAUAGUCUGGGACUGACACCACAAUAGCACUUACUACAAACAUGGCCCCAAAGCCUCCUGAGCAUCAUUGCUCUAGUCUGUGAAAUAUUAGAUUAUAAGUUCUUUCUUAUAUCUCACAUCAGAUUAGUAUUAUUAGCACAGAACUGAAUUUAAUGUUUUAAACAUUUAAAUAUAAUUUCAUAACUAAUAAAGAAAAACUAGAAAAGAUUCUACUUCUUCAUAGUUUAUUCACAUGUUUACUAUUGCUUUUAAGAGAAACACUCAUUCAACAGUAAACAUUUAAUUUAACUAUAUAUAAGGAAUUUAGGGCAUUGAAUAAAGUUUAGUCUCUUCUAAAAGGAUUCCCAACCUGGAUAUGGAGAGAAAUAGAUAUUAAAUAUAUAAUGUGAUAAAUCCAAUUAUAGAGGAAUAACAAAAGUGAAAUGGAAAUAGAAGGGAAGGAGUGAUUAUUCUGCCUGGGAGAGUCAGAGAAAUGAUAUCCUUAGAUAGUUCUGUUU
This 2443-nucleotide long non-coding RNA is filed under the name Equus asinus (donkey). Its description in RNAcentral is "lncRNA (ENSEASG00005030128.1, ENSEASG00020012036.1)". The record is from RNAcentral. Lineage: Eukaryota; Metazoa; Chordata; Mammalia; Perissodactyla; Equidae.